RNAcentral lists this ribosomal RNA (453 nucleotides) under uncultured Paracoccaceae bacterium. RNAcentral describes it as "uncultured Rhodobacteraceae bacterium partial 16S ribosomal RNA". The record is from RNAcentral. Lineage: Bacteria; Pseudomonadati; Pseudomonadota; Alphaproteobacteria; Rhodobacterales; Paracoccaceae.
CACGGAGUUAGCCGGGGCUUCUUCUGCUGGUACCGUCAUUAUCUUCCCAGCUGAAAGAUCUUUACAACCCUAAGGCCUUCAUCAAUCACGCGGCAUGGCUAGAUCAGGCUUGCGCCCAUUGUCUAAGAUUCCCCACUGCUGCCUCCCGUAGGAGUCUGGGCCGUGUCUCAGUCCCAGUGUGGCUGAUCAUCCUCUCAAACCAGCUAUGGAUCGUCGGCUUGGUAGGCCAUUACCCCACCAACUACCUAAUCCAACGCGGGCCAAUCCUUUGGCGAUAAAUCUUUCCCCCGAAGGGCACAUACGGUAUUACUCCCAGUUUCCCGAGGCUAUUCCGUACCAAAGGGUAUGUUCCCACGCGUUACUCACCCGUCCGCCGCUAGAUCCGAAGAUCUCGCUCGACUUGCAUGUGUUAGGCCUGCCGCCAGCGUUCGUUCUGAGCCAGGAUCAAACUCU